Molecule: ribosomal RNA, 505 nt
Filed under: uncultured bacterium
Lineage: Bacteria
Description: partial 16S ribosomal RNA
Rfam family: Bacterial small subunit ribosomal RNA
Source: RNAcentral
GACGAACGCUGGCGGCGUGCCUAAUACAUGCAAGUAGAACGCACAGUUUAUACCGUAGCUUGCUACACCAUAGACUGUGAGUUGCGAACGGGUGAGUAACGCGUAGGUAACCUGCCUGGUACCGGGGGAUAACUAUUGGAAACGAUAGCUAAUACCGCAUAAUAUUAAUUAUUGCAUGAUAAUUAAUUGAAAGGUGCAAUUGCACCACUACCAGAUGGACCUGCGUUGUAUUAGCUAGUAGGUGAGGUAACGGCUCACCUAGGCGACGAUACAUAGCCGACCUGAGAGGGUGAUCGGCCACACUGGGACUGAGACACGGCCCAGACUCCUACGGGAGGCAGCAGUAGGGAAUCUUCGGCAAUAGACGAAAGUCUGACCGAGCAACGCCGCGUGAGUGAAGAAGGUUUUCGGAUCGUAAAGCUCUGUUGUAAGAGAAGAACGGGUGUGAGAGUGGAAAGUUCACACUGUGACGGUAUCUUACCAGAAAGGGACGGCUAACUACGUG